This 161-nucleotide small RNA is filed under the name Gopherus agassizii (Agassiz's desert tortoise). RNAcentral's name for it is "TUC338 (ENSGAGG00000023919.1)". The record is from RNAcentral. Lineage: Eukaryota; Metazoa; Chordata; Testudines; Testudinidae.
CUGACAACCGUGAGGAUUUAAGUCCUCUGUUCAUCCUCAGAUAGGAUACAGCAUUGGCAGCGCCAGCUUCCCUGCUAAUAGAUGUGCCCUGAUCUAAAGGGACCAUCUCUGUGUGUGAGAGAGUAAUUCAGUCUCCGUGGCUUAUUCAACCCUUUGCAUCU